UCUGGGUUAGUUAUGGGGCGCUAUGGGUCACUUAUGGGUCAGUUGUGGGUCACUUAUGGGUCACUUAUGGGUCAGUUCUGGGUUAGUUAUGGGGCGCUAUGGGUCACUUAUGAGUCACUUAUGGGUCACUUAUGGGUCACUUGUGGGUCACUUAUGGGUCACUUGUGGGUCAGUUCUGGGUCAGUUCUGGGUCACUUAUGGGGCGCUAUGGGUCAGUUGUGGGUCACUUGUGGGUCACUGUGAGUCACUUAUGGGUCACUUAUGGGUUAGUUAUGGGUCACUUGUGGGUCACUUGUGGGUCGCUAUGGGUCACUUGUGGGUCACUUGUGGGUCGCUAUGGGGCAGGCGCGGCGGCGGGCUCGCUGUUCUCGGGGGGCCGCUACGCCCUGGACCCGGAGCUGCGCGGGGCCGAAUUCGAGCGCCUGACCCAAAACCUGGAGGUCGGCUUCUGGAAGAGCUUCUGGAACCUCACCGAGAACCAGCUGCUGGCGGUGAGGCCCCAAAAACCCCCCAAAUGACCCCAAAACCGACCCCAAAAACCAGAACCCCAAAACUGACCCCAAAACCCAAAACUGACCCCAAAACUGACCCCAAAACCCAAAACCGACCCCAAAAACCCCAAAACCACCCCAAAAACCCCCAAACUGAGCCCAAAACUGACCCUAAAACACCAAAACCGACCCCAAAACUGACCCCAAAACUGACCCCCAAACCCAAAACUGACCCCAAAACCGACCCCAAAAACCAGAACCCCAAAACCGACCCCAAAAACCCCAAAACUGACCCCCAAAACCCCCAAACUCAGCCCAAAACUGACCCUAAAACCCCAAAACUGAGCCCAAAACCACCCCAAAAACCCAUGACAGACUCCAAAAACCCCCAAAAUGAGCCCCAAAACCCCAAAACUGACCCCAAAACUGACCCCAAAACCCAAAAACACCCCCAAAAAAACCCAAACUGAGUCCAAAAUCCCAAAACUGACACCAAAACCACCCCAAAAACCCCCAAACUGAGCCCAAAACUGACCCUAAAACACCAAAACCGACCCCAAAACUGACCCCAAAACUGACCCCAAAACCCAAAACUGACCCCAAAACCCAAAAACCCCCAAACCAACCCCAAAACCCAAAAACACCCCAAAAAAAACCCAAACUGACCCCCAAACCACCCUAAAAACCCCAAAACUGACCCCAAAACUGACCCUAAAACUGACCCCCAAACCCAAAACUGACCCCAAAACCGACCCCAAAAACCAGAACCCCAAAACCGACCCCAAAAACCCCAAAACUGACCCCCAAAAC
This 1301-nucleotide long non-coding RNA is filed under the name Anas platyrhynchos platyrhynchos (common mallard). RNAcentral's name for it is "lncRNA (ENSAPLG00000016669.1)". Lineage: Eukaryota; Metazoa; Chordata; Aves; Anseriformes; Anatidae. The record is from RNAcentral.